RNAcentral lists this ribosomal RNA (253 nucleotides) under uncultured Bellilinea sp. RNAcentral describes it as "partial 16S ribosomal RNA". It matches the Rfam family "Bacterial small subunit ribosomal RNA", at positions 524 to 776 of the family's 1533-position model. The record is from RNAcentral. Lineage: Bacteria; Bacillati; Chloroflexota; Anaerolineae; Anaerolineales; Anaerolineaceae.
AACGUAGGAGGCAAGCGUUAUCCGAAUUUACUGGGCGUAAAGCGUGUGCAGGCGGCUCGAUAAGUUGGAUGUGAAAUCUCUUGGCUCAACUGGGAGAGGUCGUUCAAAACUAUCGGGCUCGAGGGCAGUAGAGGGAGGUGGAAUUCCGGGUGUAGUGGUGAAAUGCGUAGAUAUCCGGAGGAACACCAGUGGCGAAAGCGGCCUCCUGGACUGCACCUGACGCUCAUACACGAAAGCUAGGGGAGCGAACGGG